ACGGAGGAUCCAAGCGUUAUCCGGAUUCAUUGGGUUUAAAGGGUGCGUAGGCGGAAUGAUAAGUCAGUGGUGAAAUCCUGCAGCUUAACUGCAGAACUGCCAUUGAUACUGUCAAUCUUGAGUACAUUUGAUGUGGGCGGAAUGUGUCAUGUAGCGGUGAAAUGCUUAGAUAUGACACAGAACACCGAUUGCGAAGGCAGCUCACAAAACUGUUACUGACGCUGAGGCACGAAAGCGUGGGUAUCAAACAGG
This 252-nucleotide ribosomal RNA is filed under the name uncultured bacterium. RNAcentral's name for it is "partial 16S ribosomal RNA". It matches the Rfam family "Bacterial small subunit ribosomal RNA", at positions 525 to 776 of the family's 1533-position model. The record is from RNAcentral.